CAGCCGCCGCGGGAAUACGAAGGGUGCAAGCGUUACUCGGAAUUACUGGGCGUAAAGCGUGCGUAGGUGGUGGUUUAAGUCCGUUGUGAAAGCCCUGGGCUCAACCUGGGAAUUGCAGUGGAUACUGGGUCACUAGAGUGUGGUAGAGGAUAGUGGAAUUUCCGGUGUAGCGGUGAAAUGCGUAGAUAUCGGAAGGAACACCUGUGGCGAAAGCGGCUCACUGGACCAUAACUGACGCUGAUGCACGAAAGCUAGGGGAGCAAACAGGAUUAGAUACCCCUGUAGUCCCUGUCUCUUAUAC
Molecule: ribosomal RNA, 301 nt
Filed under: uncultured bacterium
Lineage: Bacteria
Description: partial 16S ribosomal RNA
Rfam family: Bacterial small subunit ribosomal RNA
Source: RNAcentral